GAUGAACGCUGGCGGCGCGCCUAAUACAUGCAAGUCGAGCGAAUGGAUUAAGAGCUUGCUCUUAUGAAGUUAGCGGCGGACGGGUGAGUAACACGUGGGUAACCUGCCCAUAAGACUGGGAUAACUCCGGGAAACCGGGGCUAAUACCGGAUAACAUUUUGAACCGCAUGGUUCGAAAUUGAAAGGCGGCUUCGGCUGUCACUUAUGGAUGGACCCGCGUCGCAUUAGCUAGUUGGUGAGGUAACGGCUCACCAAGGCAACGAUGCGUAGCCGACCUGACAGGGUGAUGGGCCACACUGGGACUGAGACACGGCCCAGACUCCUACGGGAGGCAGCAGUAGGGAAUCUUCCGCAAUGGACGAAAGUCUGACGGGGCAACGCCGCGUGAGUGAUGAAGGCUUUCGGGUCGUAAAACUCUGUUGUUAGGGAAGAACAAGUGCUAGUUGAAUAAGCUGGCACCUUGACGGUACCUAACCAGAAAGCCACGGCUAACUACGUGCCAGCCGCCGCGGUAA
Molecule: ribosomal RNA, 515 nt
Filed under: uncultured bacterium
Lineage: Bacteria
Description: partial 16S ribosomal RNA
Rfam family: Bacterial small subunit ribosomal RNA
Source: RNAcentral